This 77-nucleotide transfer RNA is filed under the name Desulfobacteraceae bacterium 4572_130. Its description in RNAcentral is "tRNA-Thr". It matches the Rfam family "tRNA". Rfam says of the family: Transfer RNA (tRNA) molecules are approximately 80 nucleotides in length. Their secondary structure includes four short double-helical elements and three loops (D, anti-codon, and T loops). Further hydrogen bonds mediate the characteristic L-shaped molecular structure. tRNAs have two regions of fundamental functional importance: the anti-codon, which is responsible for specific mRNA codon recognition, and the 3' end, to which the tRNAs corresponding amino acid is attached (by aminoacyl-tRNA synthetases). tRNAs cope with the degeneracy of the genetic code in two manners: having more than one tRNA (with a specific anti-codon) for a particular amino acid; and 'wobble' base-pairing, i.e. permitting non-standard base-pairing at the 3rd anti-codon position. Lineage: Bacteria; Pseudomonadati; Thermodesulfobacteriota; Desulfobacteria; Desulfobacterales; Desulfobacteraceae. The record is from RNAcentral. RNAcentral also lists the same sequence under 1 other name.
GCCCAUGUAGCUCAGCAGGUAGAGCGUUUCCUUGGUAAGGAAGAGGUUCACCGGUUCAAGCCCGGUCAUGGGCUCCA